UGCGUAGGCGGGCUAAUAAGUCAGUGGUGAAAUCUCUCGGCUCAACCGGGAAACUGCCAUUGAUACUGUUAGUCUUGAGUUCGGUUGAGGUAGGCGGAAUGUGUAAUGUAGCGGUGAAAUGCUUAGAUAUUACACAGAACACCAAUUGCGUAGGCAGCUUACUAGACCGACACUGACGCUGAGGCACGAAAGCGUGGGGAGCGAACAGGAUUAGAUACCAUGGUAGUCC
RNAcentral lists this ribosomal RNA (229 nucleotides) under uncultured bacterium. Its description in RNAcentral is "partial 16S ribosomal RNA". It matches the Rfam family "Bacterial small subunit ribosomal RNA", at positions 568 to 796 of the family's 1533-position model. The record is from RNAcentral.